GAUGAACGCUAGCGGCAGGCUUAACACAUGCAAGUCGAGGGGCAGCAUGGUCUUCGGACUGAUGGCGACCGGCAAACGGGUGCGGAACACGUACAGAAUCUGCCUUUAUCUGGGGGAUAGCCUUUGGAAACGAAGAUUAAUACCCCAUAGUAUUAUUAGGUGGCAUCACCUUGAUAAUUAAAGAAUUUCGGAUAGAGAUGACUGUGCGUACUAUUAGCUAGUUGGUAGGGUAACGGCCUACCAAGGCUACGAUAGUUAGCUGAUGUGAGAGCAUGAUCAGCCACACGGGCACUGAGACACGGGCCCGACUCCUGCGGGAGGCAGCAGUGAGGAAUAUUGGUCAAUGGGCGCAAGCCUGAACCAGCCAUGCCGCGUGAAGGAUGAAGGCGUUCUGCGUCGUAAACUUCUUUUACCUGGGAAGAAACCUACCUUUUCUAAGGUAGCCGACGGUACCAGAGGAAUAAGCACCGGCUAACUCCGUGCCAGCCGCCGCCGUAA
RNAcentral lists this ribosomal RNA (498 nucleotides) under uncultured bacterium. Its description in RNAcentral is "partial 16S ribosomal RNA". It matches the Rfam family "Bacterial small subunit ribosomal RNA", at positions 28 to 523 of the family's 1533-position model. The record is from RNAcentral.